Molecule: long non-coding RNA, 888 nt
Filed under: Cricetulus griseus (Chinese hamster)
Lineage: Eukaryota; Metazoa; Chordata; Mammalia; Rodentia; Cricetidae
Description: lncRNA (ENSCGRG00015000470.2)
Source: RNAcentral
AUGCAUCAUCUUUAUCAAGUUCACCCCUCUAAGGUUGAGAGAACCUCUCAGAAGGAGUAGAGAGAAUUUAGGAGCAGGAGGCUAUGGAUGAGAGCAAGAAAAUGCUGAUUUCUGGAUGUUGCAAGCAUCAAUUCACAGCAGCUAUGGUUUUGUACAAAAGACUUGCACAAGAUCUAGCAGUCAAAAUUCCCAAAUGGAUGAGAGAAGGGCCCCAAAGCUGCACCAAUCCAAGACAAUGUGUUGAAAGUUAAUUGGGAGAGGCAAUUUCCUUUUGGAAAUGUGUGGCCUUUCGUAAUUUGCUAUGUCACACAUAGUGGACGGGCACACAUCCAGGCCCAUGUGGGAAGCAUUAGUUAGACUCUAUAUAACAACAACAAGAACAAAAAUAGAGGACAUGAAAUUGGAAUCAAGCUUGGCCUUCAUCCAGCAGCUGGUGGAAGUAGAAGCAGACACCCAUAGCUAAACACUGAACUGAACUUGAAUCCAGUUGCAGAGAAGAGGAGUGAUGAGCAAAGGGGUCCAGACCAGGCUGGUGAAACCCACAGAAACAGCUGACCUGAACAUCUGGGAACUCUUGCUCUCCAGACUGAUAGCUGGAACACCAAGCACUGAUCCAGAACUCAGAAAUAUGGGUUUCUGUGAGGAGACCUCAGAAAUCUAUGGGACCUCCUGUAGAAGUUCAGUACUUACCCUAGAAAAGGUGUGGACUUUGGGAGCCCAUUCCAUAUAGAGGAAUACUCCCUGAGCCAAGACACAUGGGGCUGGCCCUAGGCCCUAUCCCAAAGGAUACAAUAGACACUGAUGACACCCUAUGAAAGGCCUCACCAUCCAGGGGGAGCAGAAAGGAUACAUGAUAGAUAGGGUUUUAGUUGGGGGCAGGAGGUAGGG